GGCGAAAGCCUGAUGCAGCAACGCCGCGUGAGCGAUGAAGGUCUUCGGAUCGUAAAGCUCUGUCCUCAAGGAAGAAUAUUGACGGUACUUGAGGAGGAAGCCCCGGCUAACUACGUGCCAGCAGCCGCGGUAAUACGUAGGGGGCUAGCGUUAUCCGGAAUUACUGGGCGUAAAGGGUGCGUAGGCGGUCUUGCAAGUCAGAGGUGAAAGGCUACGGCUCAACCGUAGUAAGCCUUUGAAACUGUAGGACUUGAGUGCAGGAGAGGAAAGUGGAAUUCCCAGUGUAGCGGUGAAAUGCGUAGAUAUUGGGAGGAACACCAGUUGCGAAGGCGGCUUUCUGGACUGUAACUGACGCUGAGGCACGAAAGCGUGGGGAGCGAACAGGAUUAGAUACCCUGGUAGUCCACGCCGUAAACGAUGAGUACUAGGUGUCGGGGGUUACCCCCCUCGGUGCCGCAGCUAACGCAUUAAGUACUCCGCCUGGGAAGUA
This 490-nucleotide ribosomal RNA is filed under the name uncultured bacterium. RNAcentral describes it as "bacterial SSU rRNA". It matches the Rfam family "Bacterial small subunit ribosomal RNA", at positions 374 to 882 of the family's 1533-position model. The record is from RNAcentral.